Molecule: non-coding RNA, 296 nt
Organism: Musa acuminata subsp. malaccensis (wild Malaysian banana)
Lineage: Eukaryota; Viridiplantae; Streptophyta; Magnoliopsida; Zingiberales; Musaceae
Source: RefSeq, a predicted model, not a curated record
GUUGUUUGCAUAUAGUUUAUAAGCUUGUCAAUACUAGAUAUCAAUCAUGACAGAGGGAUGUUAGAAGUGCUCUAAAAUGUUGCUCAGUAGGAGUGAGAUGGGCCUUUGAGAAUGUUGCACGAAGAUGUUGAAAAUUAAGCAUCAUAAUUUGGCCUUCCUCCAAAAAAGAUCUCUGCUAGUCGAGCAUUUUAUUCUGAAAUCAACAUCAACACCUGCACUUCAGAAACAUGAUUUCUCUACUAAUUAGUGCAGUAUCACUGCACAGUGCUUCGGAGUCUAUCACAUGCAAUCGACCC